CAAUCUCAGUUCAGACUGCAGGCUGCAACUCGCCUGCACGAAGUCGGAAUUGCUAGUAAUCGUAGGUCAGCAUACUACGGUGAAUACGUUCCCGGGCCUUGUACACACCGCCCGUCAAACCAUGAGAGUUGGCAACACCCGAAGUCGGUAGUCUAACCGCAAGGAGGACGCCGCCGAAGGUGGGGUCGAUGAUUAGGGUUAAGUCGUAACAAGGUAUC
RNAcentral lists this ribosomal RNA (218 nucleotides) under uncultured bacterium. Its description in RNAcentral is "partial 16S ribosomal RNA". It matches the Rfam family "Bacterial small subunit ribosomal RNA", at positions 1283 to 1500 of the family's 1533-position model. The record is from RNAcentral.